CAGCCGCCGCGGGAAUACGUAGGUGGCAAGCGUUGUCCGGAAUUAUUGGGCGUAAAGGGCUCGCAGGCGGUUUCUUAAGUCUGAUGUGAAAGCCCCCGGCUCAACCGGGGAGGGUCAUUGGAAACUGGGAAACUUGAGUGCAGAAGAGGAGAGUGGAAUCCCACGUGUAGCGGUGAAAUGCGUAGAGAUGUGGAGGAACACCAGUGGCGAAGGCGACUCUCUGGUCUGUAACUGACGCUGAGGAGCGAAAGCGUGGGGAGCGAACAGGAUUAGAUACCCCUGUAGUCCCUGUCUCUUAUAU
This 301-nucleotide ribosomal RNA is filed under the name uncultured bacterium. RNAcentral describes it as "partial 16S ribosomal RNA". It matches the Rfam family "Bacterial small subunit ribosomal RNA", at positions 509 to 809 of the family's 1533-position model. The record is from RNAcentral.